UUGUACACACCGCCCGUCACACCAUGGGAGUUGGAAAUGCCCGAAGUCAGUGACCCAACCGGAAGGAGGGAGCUGCCGAAGGCAGGUUCGAUAACUGGGGUGAAGUCGUAACAAGGUAAC
RNAcentral lists this ribosomal RNA (120 nucleotides) under uncultured bacterium. Its description in RNAcentral is "partial 16S ribosomal RNA". It matches the Rfam family "Bacterial small subunit ribosomal RNA", at positions 1381 to 1500 of the family's 1533-position model. The record is from RNAcentral.